GCAAAAAGACCAAAAAAAAAAAAAAAAAAUAGAAAGGCACUGUCCUGAUUAUUUUGAUUAUCUGUAUCUCUGUGAGAAUGAGUCACAUCUCAUAGGCCCCCAGCCCACAUCUGCCCUACAGCAGGUAUGACACAGGCCCCAAGUUCACAUGAUGACACAACUCUGAUCUUCCUGCAGACCCAGUUCCAAGGCUCCAGCCAUCCUGGAUCUCACUAGAGGCCUGCUGCCCAAUGGCCGUCCCAGUGCCCUGGGAGCAGGAUGGCUUUCUUCGAGUGAUGGUGGAGGAUGCUGAGGCCAGCUUCCCCCAGGUCCAGGAAUCUAACUCUGGUCACACCUCCCACCCGCUUCCGGCACUUCUGCUUUAAGGAGGCCUCCAACCCAUAGGAGGCCCUGGCCCGGCCGCGUGAACUCUGCCACGAGUGGCUGAGGCCCAAGAUGCACUCCAAGGAACAGAUGCUGGAGCUGCAGGUGCUGGAGCUGUUCCUGGGCACGCUGCCCCCCAAGAUCCAGGCCUGGGUGGGGGCCCAGUGCCCCAAGAGUAGCGAGGAGGCUGCUGUGCUGGUGGAGGAUCUGACUCAGGCGCUGGACAAGAGAGACACAGUGGAAGAGGCAGGGUGGCUGCAGGGUCAAGCCCUUGCCAGCUGAUCCUGGGCCUUUGACCCGAGCUGGCUCUUUAGUCCCACACAAGCCCUGCACACCUAGCUGGAGACUGGGUGACACCAGGAGAGGUGACAAGAGCUGGAGAGCGACAGAGGAGCCAACCGCUAGUGGGGUGGGGGGUGCCUCACAGUGGCAAAAAGGCCCCCACCUUCAGCCACCGGCACCUCUGGGAGCCCUUCCUGCAACCCCCACUUGGAGUGGAGCGGUGGUCGUCCUUCUCCGGGUUCCAGAAGGUGUGGCCUUUGAAAGGAUGCAGCUAGCAGACCACACAAGAUCGCGCUACCUGGCUUUCCAGCACCUGCCCUGGGGCUGGGGGGCAGGGAGGGGUGCUGGGGGGGGGCCAGAUUCCGACCUUCCCCGCCCACCGGCACCCUGUCAGCCAGCCCCAUACUCACAUACACUAGUUGUUUUUAUAUAUGCAUAUAUAUUAUGGUUGUAUAUUAAAAAGAGAAAAACAGGAGUUCCCGUCGUGGCGCAGUGGUUAACGAAUCCGGUUAGGAACCAUGAGGUUGCGGGUUCGGUCCCUGCCCUUGCUCAGUGGGUUAACGAUCCGGCGUUGCCGUGAGCUGUGGUGUAGGUUGCAGACGCGGCUCGGAUCCCGAGUUGCUGUGGUUCUGGCGUAGGCCAGUGGCUACAGCUCCAAUUCAACCCCUAGCCUGGGAACCUCCAUAUGCUGCGGGAGCGGCCCAAGAAAUAGCAACAACAACAACAACAACAAAAAAGACAAAAGACAAAAAAAA
This 1400-nucleotide long non-coding RNA is filed under the name Sus scrofa (pig). Its description in RNAcentral is "lncRNA (ENSSSCG00005009167.1)". Lineage: Eukaryota; Metazoa; Chordata; Mammalia; Artiodactyla; Suidae. The record is from RNAcentral.